AUUGAACGCUGGCGGCAUGCCUAACACAUGCAAGUCGAACGGAGGUAGGGGCAACUCUACUUCAGUGGCGGACGGGUGAGGAAUGCGUCGGAAUCUACCCUAUGGUGGGGGAUAACACAGGGAAACUUGUGCUAAUACCGCAUAAUGUCGAGAGACCAAAGCAGGGGACCGCAAGGCCUUGCGCGAUAGGAUGAGCCGACGCCCGAUUAGCUAGUUGGUAGGGUAAAGGCCUACCAAGGCGACGAUCGGUAGCUGGUCUGAGAGGAUGAUCAGCCACACUGGGACUGAGACACGGCCCAGACUCCUACGGGAGGCAGCAGUGGGGAAUAUUGGACAAUGGGCGCAAGCCUGAUCCAGCAAUGCCGCGUGUGUGAAGAAGGCCUGCGGGUUGUAAAGCACUUUUGUUCGGGAAGAAAUCAUGCUGGUUAAUACCUGGUAUGGAUGACGGUACCGAAGAAUAAGCACCGGCUAACUUCGUGCCAGCAGCCG
RNAcentral lists this ribosomal RNA (489 nucleotides) under uncultured bacterium. Its description in RNAcentral is "bacterial SSU rRNA". It matches the Rfam family "Bacterial small subunit ribosomal RNA", at positions 30 to 517 of the family's 1533-position model. The record is from RNAcentral.